CCCGCCGUGGCCGCCAUCUUGGGCUCGGGACGAGGCGCCUGCCCGGGGCCGCGAGCUGCUGUGGGGAAAGAGGGAGCAAAAGCUCAAAACAGGCCUGGUGCCUCUCAGAACCUCCUUGGCUGUGCUACGUGAGCUGCCAAGGCCCUCAGUAUGGACACCCAUUCUCUUGUGUCCAGUUCCGGGCUUUUUAAUGUGACACCAAAAACAUUGCGGUGAAUCAAACUCCCAAACUCUUUGUUUUAUAGUAUUGGGGAGUAGGCGUCACUUUAGUCCCUGCUAGGGUGCAUAGCAGGUAACUCCAGCCACAUGCCCUCCAUUUCCAAAAUUUUCACUCACAUAUUUUCAGCAAACAACUUAUUGGUUCUAAAUGGUGUCAUUCUCUUCAUUAAUUACUGUUCUAUUAGUUAGUGGUUUCUAGUGCUUAUUAGUCCACAUUUUUCAGCCUUUUUUUCCCAACAGAGUCUACAGUACUUAGGUUGCAAUGUCUUUGUUAGUUUCUUCUGGUUAUUGUAAUUUAUCUUUGGAGUGCCAAAAUUUUGGAUCUUUGGUGUCCAGCUUCCCUUUGUUCCUUGAAGCUUAUCCAGACUUACCGUGACCGAUGGUGUGGCACUGGAUGGUAAUGAAGCCAAUUAACUGGGAUCCCUGUCCUGAGGUUCAGGCAUUGGCCAGAGGAUCAGGAAAAGACCAGGAAUUCUCAACCACUGGAGGCAACUCUUGUCAAGAGUGAGGGAAAGAUACCUUUUAGAGGAAGACUUUUCAGUGUGCCAAGACAAGUGGAACACUUGGAAGGUAUCUGGUGCCUGAGAGAAUUAGCUGUGCUGGAGAUAAUAUUUUCAGGUAAUGAACAAUUCCCUAAUAAUCCAGACGGCGUCCACUGAACACAAAAUAUGUGAUCAUGUGCCAAGUCAUUGGAAGUGUUGGCAUGGAAGGAGGGAGAAGAAGUGGGAAUUCUGGUUUGGCAGACUCCAGACACAUAAAAAAACUAUCUCCGCCCCAUUGUGGGCCUACAUCUCAUCCAUGGAAAGAAUAACAGAGGAUUUCUGGAAUUUAAGAGAGUAAAUUAAAGAAAGGAGGGCCACCAGAAACUUUUAGAGUACCUUAAAGAGGAAAUUUUCCAUGCCCUACCAGUACAGACCAGAGUCUCUGCUAUUAGGAGCAGGCAUCCCCCUGCUCAAGAGAGAGGAUACACUCCACCACAUGUGUAACAUGUGGUUCUACCUGCAUGGAGAAAACAUGAGGAGCUGGGAUGAAAAACCCACCUCUGCCCUAGCAGCAUGGGUAUGUGAGUUGAGAGGAGGAAUGACUACCACAGGAAGCUCUUAGAGGAUAAAUGCUGCUCCAGUUUCCCAUGGGCAUGCCCCUAGGCACAGUAGAAGGGAUGAUGUUGUGUCCAAACCUCUCCAGGCCAGGAUGUACAGGGAUCACGCAUGUAGCUGGCAGAUCGGGUACGAUGUACAACACUUAGCCGUUGUAAGAAGAUCAGGAACCUGGAAAACAGCAUUUAGAAAUGGAGAUGGAUAGAACACAGCUUCACAUCAUAGAAUGGAAGUGGAGAACCUGUCCUGUUCUUCCUGGAGUAGGGGAAAUCCCAGUCCUGGAUGACUCUGUGCUCCCCGAGGCAAGAGAGGCUGCCCAAAUGCUUCCCAGCAGCACAGUUCCCAGCCAGGCCCUUUCCCUCUGCUCUAAAUUCCCUCCAUGCCCCAGCCAAGGGAAGUAAAGGAAGAGAAGACAUUUAAUUGUUCCUUCUUUCUGCAAGAAAAGUUAUUUUUGGAGUCUUUGGGACAACGCAGCAGAACAUCAGGACUUGAACAUGAAGGAGCUGGGCACAACUCCAGGGCUACACCUACAGCCAAGUGAGAGGAGGAGAGUCCCUGGUGCCUGUGGGGAACAGAGAGCUCUGAGGGGUACCAGGAGCUCUGAGGUGGCAUCCCACAAACUGGAUAAGGCACCCACUUAGCACCACAUGCCUCUGAGUAACAACUCAGGCCCUGGAGCUGUACAAAAGGUGCAGAACAAAGGAUCAACAUUACAACCAGGAGUAAAACUGCAAUAUGAGUAAUAAAUUAAUUUCAUUUUCAUUUAUUAAACACGGAUCACAUAGAACUCAGCACAAUUUACAGCAGAUACAGAGUGAUUAAAUCCUUUAUCAAUCUCUUCA
Long non-coding RNA from Cyanistes caeruleus (blue tit), 2158 nucleotides. RefSeq lists it as uncharacterized. The record is from RefSeq and is a predicted model, not a curated record. NCBI's taxonomy places the organism in Eukaryota, Metazoa, Chordata, Aves, Passeriformes, Paridae.